This 301-nucleotide ribosomal RNA is filed under the name uncultured bacterium. RNAcentral describes it as "partial 16S ribosomal RNA". It matches the Rfam family "Bacterial small subunit ribosomal RNA", at positions 509 to 807 of the family's 1533-position model. The record is from RNAcentral.
CAGCAGCCGCGGGAAUACGUAGGGUGCGAGCGUUAAUCGGAAUUACUGGGCGUAAAGCGUGCGCAGGCGGUUCGUUAAGACAGAUGUGAAAUCCCCGGGCUUAACCUGGGAACUGCAUUCGUGACUGGCGAGCUAGAGUAUGGCAGAGGGGGGUAGAGUUCCACGUGUAGCAGUGAAAUGCGUAGAGAUGUGGAGGAAUACCGAUGGCGAAGGCAGCCCCCUGGGCCAAUACUGACGCUCAUGCACGAAAGCGUGGGGAGCAAACAGGAUUAGAUACCCGUGUAGUCCCUGUCUCUUAUAC